Molecule: ribosomal RNA, 468 nt
Filed under: uncultured bacterium
Lineage: Bacteria
Description: partial 16S ribosomal RNA
Rfam family: Bacterial small subunit ribosomal RNA
Source: RNAcentral
GACGAACGCUGGCGGCGUGCUUAACACAUGCAAGUCGAACGGACAGACCCUGCGUUUGUGCGUUGCUCGUUUGGCGAACACGUGAGUAACACGUGAGUAUCCUGUCCCUGUCAUUGGGAUAACUUCAGGGAACUGGGGCGCUUACCGCGGAGGAGCUCCUGCUGCAUGGUGGGGGUUGGUAAGAUUCGGCGGUGCGGGAUGGACUCGCGGCUUAUGCGCUUGUUUGUGGGGUAGUGGCUUACCAAGGCUUUGAAGGGUAGCCGGCAUGAGAGGGUGAACGGCGACAUUGGGACUGAGAUACGGCCCAGAAUCGUACGGGAGGCAGCAGUGGGAAAUAUGGCACAACGGGCGGAAGCGUGAUGUAGCAACGCCGGGUGCGGGAUGCCCGCUUACGGGUUGUAAACAGCUUUGGCAUGUGACGAAGCGUGAGUGACGGUAAUGGGUAAAGAAGCACCGGCUAACUACGUG